GACGAACGCUGGCGGCGUGCUUAACACAUGCAAGUCGAACGGAAAGGCCCUGCUUUUGUGGGGUGCUCGAGUGGCGAACGGGUGAGUAACACGUGAGUAAUCUGCCCUUGACUUUGGGAUAACUUCAGGAAACUGGGGCUAAUACCGGAUAGGAGCUCCUGCUGCAUGGUGGGGGUUGGAAAGUUUCGGCGGUUGGGGAUGGACUCGCGGCCUAUCAGCUUGUUGGUGGGGUAGUGGCUUACCAAGGCUUUGACGGGUAGCCGGCCUGAGAGGGUGACCGGCCACAUUGGGACUGAGAUACGGCCCAGACUCCUACGGGAGGCAGCAGUGGGGAAUAUUGCACAAUGGGCGGAAGCCUGAUGCAGCAACGCCGCGUGCGGGAUGACGGCCUUCGGGUUGUAAACCGCUUUCGCCUGUGACGAAGCGUGAGUGACGGUAAUGGGUAAAGAAGCACCGGCUAACUACGUG
RNAcentral lists this ribosomal RNA (468 nucleotides) under uncultured bacterium. Its description in RNAcentral is "partial 16S ribosomal RNA". It matches the Rfam family "Bacterial small subunit ribosomal RNA", at positions 28 to 507 of the family's 1533-position model. The record is from RNAcentral.